GCUGUUAAGGGUUCGUAGUUGAAUUGUGGGUUUGUCGGAUGUUGAUCCUGUCCUCUUCGCACGAAGCAGGGCACUCACGCCGCAAUCCCGUGAACAUCAGAAACAAGUACCACGGGAACGCUUUCCUCGGUUCGCGGACAAUGCCCGCAGAGGAACGCCCGUGUUCAUUACUGUGACUAAAAAGUGCGACCAAAGCAGUCCAACGACAUGAAUUAGAAAGCAUGGGAUAGCAAAGGGCAUCCUACAGACUACCGUUUAGGCUUUCGUUGGUUUUAAAGGUCAGUGGGAGAUUACGGGUGGGUGGACCGGCGUCGGCGAGUUCAUACUCCCGCGCUUCCCCCUCAUGUCGGCUUGCCGGUGUGGGUGGGGCCUGCCUUUCUCGGAAUGAAAGAGGGUUGCUCGGGGAAGAACGUCAUGAGCGUGAGAGGUGAAAUUCUUAGACCGCUCAAAGACGAACUACAGCGAAGGCAUUCUUCAGGAUACCUUCAUCAAUCAAGAACCAAAGUG
Molecule: ribosomal RNA, 507 nt
Filed under: uncultured kinetoplastid
Lineage: Eukaryota; Euglenozoa; Kinetoplastea
Description: bacterial SSU rRNA
Rfam family: Eukaryotic small subunit ribosomal RNA
Source: RNAcentral